CCACUUUAAACUGGUGCUACCAGUAUACUGGCUCAACGAACUGACCUCAAGAACUUAUAGUAUAGUUGCACAUUUUUUUGAACUAUUACUUGUGUUUCGUGUAGUAGCCAUAACGUUAGUAGCUACCGUUAGCUAACGCAAGCUAAUUUAUUUAACGUUAACUGCUGACGUAAUGCUACAUCCCAAGCUAAGCUAGCUAACUAACGUUAGCUAACGUUUUAGGCUAACGCUAAUUCUCAAAUAGGAGGUAAUUUAAAACAAUAUAUUUACUUGUGAUAUAUUGUUUUCUUACCAUUGUUGCUGACCACAAACCAAAGACGGGUUUCUUAGAAUCUGGAGCUCCUGGUUAUCCAUUAAAAGUAGGUUAGUAUUGUUGACGUUAGCUAGCCGUUUUUAACCGUUGGGUCAACAUGGCCGUCGAUGACCAUCUUCCUCAGCUGUGUCCCACCGCUGUAAGUGACGUUAAACCGCAGGUCCGCCAUUACUGUCCACGUGUUCUUCACGCUGUUGCUCUGGCAACACGUACCUCCGUUAGGGCUCCUCCGUGCACACACUCUGCAUUCACACCCGAGCUGCCAGGAAGAAGAUUCAACUGAAGGUAUUUUACUCCUUACACUUCAGUGUAUUCGGUGUAAACACCUGUAGAAAGACUCCAAUGAGUAUGGAUGCGCUGCUUGUACUUAGUACGUCCACAAGGUGGCGCUCGACUAUAAACUAUAAACAAAAACACAUUCUUCUCCAACAGAAGACGAAUGCAGAAAAAUACCUUCACAAUUAUUUUUAUUACAGCACGCAUGUUUUUACUAUGACACAUGUAAUUGUCACAUAUUCUGUAAGAUACAUAUUUCUACUAUAAUAGAUGUUUAAUUACAUCAUUCCACAGGUAAAAUAACAGUUGGAUUCCCAAAUGCUCCUCCAAAAUAAAGUGCAAAUUUGAAUUUGGCAUGGAUGAAUCUUGUGACAUAAAUGGCAAAAAAUAAUUGUUUGCAUGCUUUGCUCACAUUUCCAUUUUUGGAGGUGAACAACUAGAG
Molecule: long non-coding RNA, 1031 nt
Organism: Gasterosteus aculeatus aculeatus (three-spined stickleback)
Lineage: Eukaryota; Metazoa; Chordata; Actinopteri; Perciformes; Gasterosteidae
Source: Ensembl